AAAUUGAAGAGUUUGAUCAUGGCUCAGAUUGAACGCUGGCGGCAGGCCUAACACAUGCAAGUCGAACGGUAACAGGAAGAAGCUUGCUUCUUUGCUGACGAGUGGCGGACGGGUGAGUAAUGUCUGGGAAACUGCCUGAUGGAGGGGGAUAACUACUGGAAACGGUAGCUAAUACCGCAUAAUGUCGCAAGACCAAAGAGGGGGACCUUCGGGCCUCUUGCCAUCGGAUGUGCCCAGAUGGGAUUAGCUUGUUGGUGGGGUAACGGCUCACCAAGGCGACGAUCCCUAGCUGGUCUGAGAGGAUGACCAGCCACACUGGAACUGAGACACGGUCCAGACUCCUACGGGAGGCAGCAGUGGGGAAUAUUGCACAAUGGGCGCAAGCCUGAUGCAGCCAUGCCGCGUGUAUGAAGAAGGCCUUCGGGUUGUAAAGUACUUUCAGCGGGGAGGAAGGGAGUAAAGUUAAUACCUUUGCUCAUUGACGUUACCCGCAGAAGAAGCACCGGCUAACUCCGUGCCAGCAGCCGCGGUAAUACGGAGGGUGCAAGCGUUAAUCGGAAUUACUGGGCGUAAAGCGCACGCAGGCGGUUUGUUAAGUCAGAUGUGAAAUCCCCGGGCUCAACCUGGGAACUGCAUCUGAUACUGGCAAGCUUGAGUCUCGUAGAGGGGGGUAGAAUUCCAGGUGUAGCGGUGAAAUGCGUAGAGAUCUGGAGGAAUACCGGUGGCGAAGGCGGCCCCCUGGACGAAGACUGACGCUCAGGUGCGAAAGCGUGGGGAGCAAACAGGAUUAGAUACCCUGGUAGUCCACGCCGUAAACGAUGUCGACUUGGAGGUUGUGCCCUUGAGGCGUGGCUUCCGGAGCUAACGCGUUAAGUCGACCGCCUGGGGAGUACGGCCGCAAGGUUAAAACUCAAAUGAAUUGACGGGGGCCCGCACAAGCGGUGGAGCAUGUGGUUUAAUUCGAUGCAACGCGAAGAACCUUACCUGGUCUUGACAUCCACGGAAGUUUUCAGAGAUGAGAAUGUGCCUUCGGGAACCGUGAGACAGGUGCUGCAUGGCUGUCGUCAGCUCGUGUUGUGAAAUGUUGGGUUAAGUCCCGCAACGAGCGCAACCCUUAUCCUUUGUUGCCAGCGGUCCGGCCGGGAACUCAAAGGAGACUGCCAGUGAUAAACUGGAGGAAGGUGGGGAUGACGUCAAGUCAUCAUGGCCCUUACGACCAGGGCUACACACGUGCUACAAUGGCGCAUACAAAGAGAAGCGACCUCGCGAGAGCAAGCGGACCUCAUAAAGUGCGUCGUAGUCCGGAUUGGAGUCUGCAACUCGACUCCAUGAAGUCGGAAUCGCUAGUAAUCGUGGAUCAGAAUGCCACGGUGAAUACGUUCCCGGGCCUUGUACACACCGCCCGUCACACCAUGGGAGUGGGUUGCAAAAGAAGUAGGUAGCUUAACCUUCGGGAGGGCGCUUACCACUUUGUGAUUCAUGACUGGGGUGAAGUCGUAACAAGGUAACCGUAGGGGAACCUGCGGUUGGAUCAC
Molecule: ribosomal RNA, 1535 nt
Filed under: Escherichia coli
Lineage: Bacteria; Pseudomonadati; Pseudomonadota; Gammaproteobacteria; Enterobacterales; Enterobacteriaceae
Description: bacterial SSU rRNA
Rfam family: Bacterial small subunit ribosomal RNA
Source: RNAcentral